GAUGAACGCUAGCGACAGGCCUAACACAUGCAAGUCGAGGGGCAGCACGGAGUAAGCUUGCUUACUUUGGUGGCGACCGGCGCACGGGUGCGUAACAGGUGUGCAAUCUGUCCAUAAUCGGGGAAUAGCCCAGCGAAAGUUGGAUUAAUGCUCCAUGUGAGUAAUAGAGGCAUCUCUUUUAUUUGAAACGUAAGGAUUAUGGGUGAGCACGCUUCUGAUUAGGUAGUUGGUGAGGUAACGGCUCACCAAGCCGACGAUCAGUAGGGGUUCUGAGAGGAAGGUCCCCCACAUUGGAACUGAGACACGGUCCAA
This 312-nucleotide ribosomal RNA is filed under the name uncultured bacterium. Its description in RNAcentral is "bacterial SSU rRNA". It matches the Rfam family "Bacterial small subunit ribosomal RNA", at positions 28 to 334 of the family's 1533-position model. The record is from RNAcentral.